CACUGCUACAGGAAGCUAAUGGAGUCCCUCAGAAAUUAAUCACAACCUUCUCAGGGGUGUGAGAGUGGUGCUUGUUUUUGGGAUACCUUUCUGAAGAAUCUUCUUGAAGUCACCUGUGUUUUCUCCAUCACAGACCAAAGUACAUGUCAGGUACAUUGAUACAGUUCUAGAGAAGGUCAUUCCAAAAGCUUUGGGAGCAGUUGUUAUGGAACUAAACAGAGGUGAUGUGGAGGCUCUCCUGAAGAGUGAAAGACUGAGGCCUCUUCCAGGGUAACCCUUACUCGACACUCACAAGAUGUUACUACUCUUGCUCCAAAGUAGUUACAACUCCCAAGAUCCAUACCUUAGACCAAGCCCACUCUCAAAUGUACAACUGUCAAACGUCCAGAAGUGACACAGCAUCCCAAAACUGUGCCAGGUAUGCCAGAGGACUUGCUAAACCAAGUGGUGGCCCAACAAGCCACUUUAAUUUCUCAGUAUUUGAAGCAACCAUCCAACAGGGCAUGUUUUGUUCCCAGACCUGGAACAUACUGCUUUUUCAAUCCUCAAAGAUCUGAAUGAUUGCACUCUGCUUCAAGCAAACACCUGAUCAGGCACUCAAUUCUGAGAACAGUGGAAUUCUGCUUCCUCUCAUCUUCCCAGAAGCACAGCUGUGCACUAACAGAUGCACAUUCAUCACAAGCACACCCAGGGCAGGCCAUCUCAGUCUGAGAAGAGAGGACUCUGCAGAGAAUGUGACUUAAACUACCUUCUGGAUAGAAGUCCCAGUGCCCCUGCAAAGCCCUGGAGAACCACUGUGGUACUACCUUCAACCUUCGCCAUGUGU
Long non-coding RNA from Sciurus carolinensis (gray squirrel), 826 nucleotides. RefSeq lists it as uncharacterized. The transcript is spliced from 4 exons. The record is from RefSeq and is a predicted model, not a curated record. Lineage: Eukaryota; Metazoa; Chordata; Mammalia; Rodentia; Sciuridae.